CAGCAGCCGCGGGAAUACAGAGGGUGCGAGCGUUAAUCGGAUUUACUGGGCGUAAAGCGUGCGUAGGCGGCUUCUUAAGUCGGAUGUGAAAUCCCUGAGCUUAACUUAGGAAUUGCAUUCGAUACUGGGAAGCUAGAGUAUGGGAGAGGAUGGUAGAAUUCCAGGUGUAGCGGUGAAAUGCGUAGAGAUGUGGAGGAAUACCGAUGGCGAAGGCAGCCCCCUGGGCCAAUACUGACGCUCAUGCACGAAAGCGUGGGGAGCAAACAGGAUUAGAUACCCGUGUAGUCCCUGUCUCUUAUAC
RNAcentral lists this ribosomal RNA (301 nucleotides) under uncultured bacterium. RNAcentral describes it as "partial 16S ribosomal RNA". It matches the Rfam family "Bacterial small subunit ribosomal RNA", at positions 509 to 807 of the family's 1533-position model. The record is from RNAcentral.